Molecule: ribosomal RNA, 253 nt
Filed under: uncultured bacterium
Lineage: Bacteria
Description: partial 16S ribosomal RNA
Rfam family: Bacterial small subunit ribosomal RNA
Source: RNAcentral
UACGUAGGUGGCAAGCGUUGUCCGGAUUUACUGGGCGUAAAGAGCGCGCAGGCGGUUGUGCAAGUCGCGUGUGAAAGCCCCCGGCUCAACUGGGGAGGGUCACGCGAUACUGUUCGACUUGAAGGCAGGAGAGGGAAGUGGAAUUCCCGGUGUAGUGGUGAAAUGCGUAGAUAUCGGGAGGAACACCAGUGGCGAAGGCGACUUCCUGGCCUGUUCUUGACGCUGAGGCGCGAAAGCUAGGGGAGCAAACGGG